This 75-nucleotide transfer RNA is filed under the name Acropora cervicornis. RNAcentral's name for it is "tRNA-Thr". It matches the Rfam family "tRNA". From Rfam's summary of the family: Transfer RNA (tRNA) molecules are approximately 80 nucleotides in length. The record is from RNAcentral. Lineage: Eukaryota; Metazoa; Cnidaria; Anthozoa; Scleractinia; Acroporidae.
GGCCUGGUAGCUCAACUGGUAGAGCUCUGCACCAGUAUUGCAGAGGUCAGGGUUCUGAUAUCCCCAUUCAGGCCU